This 448-nucleotide ribosomal RNA is filed under the name uncultured Polaromonas sp. RNAcentral's name for it is "bacterial SSU rRNA". It matches the Rfam family "Bacterial small subunit ribosomal RNA", at positions 933 to 1382 of the family's 1533-position model. The record is from RNAcentral. Lineage: Bacteria; Pseudomonadati; Pseudomonadota; Betaproteobacteria; Burkholderiales; Comamonadaceae.
UGGAUGAUGUGGAUUAAUUCGAUGCAACGCGAAGAACCUUACUACCCUUGACAUGUCCGGAACCUGCCAGAGAUGGCUUGGUGCCCGAAAGGGAAUCGGAACACAGGUGCUGCAUGGCUGUCGUCAGCUCGUGUCGUGAGAUGUUGGGUUAAGUCCCGCAACGAGCGCAACCCUUGUCAUUAGUUGCUACAUUUAGUUGGGCACUCUAAUGAGACUGCCGGUGACAAACCGGAGGAAGGUGGGGAUGACGUCAAGUCCUCAUGGCCCUUAUAGGUAGGGCUACACACGUCAUACAAUGGAUGGUACAAAGGGUCGCCAACCCGCGAGGGGGAGCCAAUCCCAUAAAACCAUUCGUAGUCCGGAUCGCAGUCUGCAACUCGACUGCGUGAAGUCGGAAUCGCUAGUAAUCGUGGAUCAGAAUGUCACGGUGAAUACGUUCCCGGGUCUU